Molecule: long non-coding RNA, 163 nt
Organism: Spodoptera frugiperda (fall armyworm)
Lineage: Eukaryota; Metazoa; Arthropoda; Insecta; Lepidoptera; Noctuidae
Exons: 2
Source: RefSeq, a predicted model, not a curated record
GGAGUCUGUGUUUCCUGAUGGGUAUAACCUGGGUGUCUUCAAGGCCCGAGUGAAUAGGUUGCUUAUGGGCAGACGUGCUCCAUCGUAGGCCGCAUCAUCACUUACCAUCAGGCGAGAUAGCGGCCAAACGUCGACCCAUCAAAUGUAAAAAAAAAAUACGAAA